Molecule: non-coding RNA, 574 nt
Organism: Diceros bicornis minor
Lineage: Eukaryota; Metazoa; Chordata; Mammalia; Perissodactyla; Rhinocerotidae
Source: the annotation of a RefSeq genome assembly
UAGUCUCUGGGCUUGAGCGAGAACCAGAGAAAUUUCAACCAGGAGAAGAACUUCUAUCAUGCUCUGCCCUGGCCUGCUGUGGGCAUUCCUGGCCUCCUUUGGCUUCAGGUCCAGCAUGGCUCAGAAGGUAGUCCCAAUUCAGACCACAAUCACAAGGCAGGAAGGAGCAGCUGUGACCAUGGACUGGAAGUAUGAAACCACUUGGAGCAAUUAUUAUACUUUGUACUGGUACAAACAGCCUCCCAGCAGAGAGAUGGUUUUCCUUAUUUAUCAGGAUUAUUCUAAGCCGAAUGUAAAGCAGGGUCGCUUCUCUGUGAACUUUCAAAAGGCAGAAAAAUUCAUCAGCCUUACCAUCUCUUCCUUACAACUGGAAGACUCAGUGACUUACUUCUGUGCUCUUGGGUCUCCCACAAUCUUUAGACCAAGAGGAAUCAUAUCAAGACCAGAGGAAGACUAUAGGCGAUCAAUCAGGAAUCCUGCCUUUGAUCAGAAGGAGUCACUGAAAGGGGAUCCUAAGUUGUCUCCUUUGGAGAAGGACUACCUGUCUCCUGCGUUGGGAGAAGGGAGGGAAUGA